This 446-nucleotide ribosomal RNA is filed under the name uncultured bacterium. Its description in RNAcentral is "partial 16S ribosomal RNA". It matches the Rfam family "Bacterial small subunit ribosomal RNA", at positions 331 to 794 of the family's 1533-position model. The record is from RNAcentral.
CCAGACUCCUACGGGAGGCAGCAGUGGGGGAUAUUGCACAAUGGAGGAAACUCUGAUGCAGCGACGCCGCGUGAGGGAAGACGGUCUUCGGAUUGUAAACCUCUGUCUUUGGGGAAGAAAAUGACGGUACCCAAAGAGGAAGCUCCGGCUAACUACGUGCCAGCAGCCGCGGUAAUACGUAGGGGGCAAGCGUUAUCCGGAUUUACUGGGUGUAAAGGGCGCGUAGGCGGGAUGGCAAGUCAGAUGUGAAAUCCAAGGGCUCAACCCUUGAACUGCAUUUGAAACUGUCGUUCUUGAGUACUGGAGAGGUUGACGGAAUUCCUAGUGUAGCGUUGAAAUGCGUAGAUAUUAGGAGGAACACCAGUGGCGAAGGCGACUUUCUGGACUGUACCUGACGCUGAGGCGCGAAAGCGUGGGUAGCGACCGGGAUUAGAUACCCGCGUACU